GCUCGGCUCCCCCUUGGCCGGCGACAACCGACCGCGCGGCCCCCGCCCCUCGCGAGCCCCUGCUGGCGAGGACCGAGGUCAGAUGAUCCCCCAGCGCCGAUCCAAUUGGCUUCUCAGGAAAGAAGGGCCCGGCUAGUUGUUGGCGAACAAAGGACCUCCCUCCCCUUCCCUAACCGCCGGACUUCCCCACCUGCUAGGCCCUCUGCCCUCGUCUCUCCUCCAGCCCCUGCUCGGCCGGCCCUCCGGCCGGGCAGCCAGCCUCGCGGGUCUGAGGCUUGAAGGACCGACCUUCCCCUGACACGCCCGCCCACCUGGGUGGGGACCCGAGGAUCCGCCCCCAAUUCCUGGCUGGUGGGAGCCUGCACGCGUGGUGGGGCCGUCGUCAGGUGCAGCUCUGCUUUACGCCCCAAGUUACAGAUGGAGACAGCUAAGAUCCGAGAUGCUGCUGGUUUACUAGAAGGCAUACCGAAGAGGGCAUCCGGACGUGGUGCUGACCGUAUUGAUGCCUCUGUACCUGGGAGGAGCUCACCUGGCUUCGCUGGGCUUCAUUUGCCAUCUGAGGGAACUGGAAGGAUCUCUAAGGUCCCUUCCACCUCUGGAGCUGAGCCCCAGGAAUUUGUCGGAAUCCAGUGAGAAGAGGCAGAGCCUCCCAGACUCAGGAACACAGCAAUGUGACACCUGAUGAAAAUGUAACAGCAGAAGAUGAAGGCUGAGAAUAGACGAGGGAACCAAGGAGCACACUUGUUUUUAGCGAGCUCUCAGCCCUGCUCAGCAGAGGGGAAAUCAAACUCUGGAACGUAAAUUUUUUCAGUGGUUGGAUAGGGAUCACUCACACGUGCACGUACACACACACACACACCCCCCUCCUUGUCCCUACUGUAGAUCUGUGAGAGGCUGAAGGUCUGAUGUUUAUAAUGGUGCACACAGAACUGGAGAAAACAUUGACAUCGUCAGUGAUUUGAUUCUGCUCGGAUCAACAGUCAACGUCUGUGGAAGCAGCAUCGAGAAAUGAAAUGAUGUAUUCCGUUGGACAAAUCUGCUGCAAAAGAUCUCUUUAAAGUUUUAAAAAGCACAGAUGUCACUUUGAUGACUAAAGUGUGUUUGACCCAAGUCAUGGUCUUUUCACGCAUGGUUCCGUCAUGUGCAUUCAAAAGCUAGACAAUGAAAUAGGAAAAGAGAAGGAGAAUUGAUGUGUUUAAACUGCAAAGUAUAGUAAGUAUAGUGUGGAUUGCCAAGAGAAUGAACAAAUUAGUCUUUGAGGAAAUGCAACCAGAAUGAAUGUUCCUUACAAGCGAGAAUGCUGAGACGUCAACUGGCUUGUUUUGGACACGUCAUCAGGAAAGAGCAACCAUUAGAAAAGGACAUCAUGUUUGGUAAAGUAGAGGGCCAGUGAAAACAAGAGAGACCCUUGAUGAGAUGGACUGACGCAGUGGCCACAACGGCUGACUCAAACAUACGAGGAUGGCACAGGACUGGGCAACGUUCCCUUCUGUGAUAACCAAGGUUACCAUAAGUUGGAACCCAGUCAACAACAACAACAUAUACAGACCUAAGGCAUUCUUUUUAACUGCUGCCUGAUAGGCCAUUGUAUGGGUGAAUUCUGUAUAAUCACUGCCCCUAAAGGAGAGGGAAGGGGCUGGAGAGGAGAAGACAAUGGCCCUCUUUAGCUGUAUCCUUCUGAGAAUUGCCUUUGUGAAGUUCGGGAAGUUCACUCAUUUUCCAAGGGUUUCUAAUGUUGCCAAAAAUAUAAAUAUAAAUAAAUAUGCCACAAAAUAUGUAAGAAAAGACAACCGGUUUUCAACAAUGGGGUGGGAAUGGUGAGUUGAUUGUGAAAUAGUGACUGCACAGUACCUAAGGAAAAGACAGAUAUUUCUGUAUCUAAACUGGGGACAGAGAAACCCAUCUUCUUCCCUCUUGACUUGUGAGCAUAUCCGCAGUAACAUACUGCAAGGCUAGAAAGUCACCAUAUUUCAGGAAAAGAGAUAAAACACCUUAUUGCCUUAGGAUCCUAAGUAAUUGCUCCUUUCUUACGAUAUUAUCUUGUCCCACCCUUGUGCAGCAUGCUAAAAUAACCAAAAAAAUAAACCCAUUGCCGUGGAGUCGAUUCCAACGCAUAGCAACCCUACAGGACAGAGUAGAACUGCCCCACAGGGUUUCCAAGAAGCACCAGGUGGAUUCGAACUGCCAACAUUUUGGUUAGCAUCCCGUAGCUCUGGUGCGGCAUGCAGCAGUUUUAAAAAAGAAAGUUUUUCAGCAAAUCAUAGUCAACUUUGCAAAAUUCAUUUGCUCUGAUUUUACAUCGAGAGAACGAGAGGUUGCACACACAUGUUCUUUGCAGCACUGUCUACAAUAGCAAAAAGAUGAAAGCAACCAAGGUGCCCAUCAGCGGAUGAAUGGAUAAAUAAAUUAUGGUAUAUUCACACAAUGGAAUACUACACAUUGAUAAAGAACAGUGAGGAAUCUGUGAAACAUUUCAUAACAUGGAGGAAUCUGGAAGGCAUUGUGCUGACUGAAAUUAGUCAGUUGCAAAAGGAAAAAUAUUGUAUGAGACCACUAUUAUAAGAACUCCAGAAAUAGUUUAAAUAGAGAAGAAAAUACUCUUUGAAUGUUAU
Long non-coding RNA from Loxodonta africana (African savanna elephant), 2612 nucleotides. RefSeq lists it as uncharacterized. The transcript has 3 exons. NCBI's taxonomy places the organism in Eukaryota, Metazoa, Chordata, Mammalia, Proboscidea, Elephantidae. The record is from RefSeq and is a predicted model, not a curated record.